UGCUUUGCGCAGUGCAGUAUCAUAGUCAAUGAGGUUUAUCCGAGACGUGGUUAUUGCCAGUUGAAACUAUGUAUAGGGAAUCCUGACUUGUGUGCCUAUCGACCCCACCCCCUUUAUCUUACAUGCAACCAUAUAGAUCAAUUAAUACUUAAAGAGUAAUUAACAUGGAAUAAC
This 174-nucleotide small nuclear RNA is filed under the name Capitella teleta. RNAcentral's name for it is "U4 spliceosomal RNA". The stretch from base 1 to 75 matches the Rfam family "U4 spliceosomal RNA". Lineage: Eukaryota; Metazoa; Annelida; Polychaeta; Capitellidae. The record is from RNAcentral.